Molecule: long non-coding RNA, 836 nt
Filed under: Carica papaya (papaya)
Lineage: Eukaryota; Viridiplantae; Streptophyta; Magnoliopsida; Brassicales; Caricaceae
Description: long non-coding RNA (CPAP_LNC013843)
Source: RNAcentral
UCACGCAAACACAGUCAAGUCUAUAAAUAUAGUUUUGCUCUAUACUCCGAGAACCACAUAGCCUGUCGCUGAGACAUAAAAGAGGUGCAGAUAAGAAAAAGAGCAAUAUGGAGACUAAGACAUCGCCUGAGACAUCGGUUGCUAUGAAAGGAGGAGAUAGCUCUCUCAGUUAUGCAAAAAACUCCACUCUUCAGGUACAUACAUACAUACAUACAUACAUAUAUAUAUAUAUAACUGUGCAUCUAUGAUUCCUACGGUUCCUGUUUCUUCUACAUCUAAUUUUUUCAGGGGGAAAAUUUUCACUCAUAAAUCCUCUGGUUUCAAUCUGAAAAGCAAAAGUAAAGUUGAAACUUCACCAAGAACUUUGAUGGUAUUCAUAUUCGUGAACAGAAAAUUAUUGACCUUUAAUCUGAUUUGGGUUAUCUCAAGAUCUAUUAUUAUGUUUAAUAAUUUUAGAAAUUAAGCAAAGAAUUGUUUAUACUUAUUCUACUAAAUUAUUUUAUAUAAUAAAUAUAUAUAUAUAUACUAAUAAAGUAUUGCAUAAAAUAAUUAUUCUAAGUCAUUCCUAUGCCUAAUUAUGUCAAGAUAUUAUCGGAAGGUAACUUUAAGCGAAAGCAAGGGAGAGAUUGAGUAAAUAAACAUCAAGCUUAUCCCAAAUAAGAUUUUAAGUAAAGGUAAGAGAGAAGUUGAGUAGACAAAGCUCAAUCUUACCCGAAAUAAGAUCGAUAAUUAAAAGAAAUUUUUUGUAUUUGCUUAUAAACGAAACUUAUUAAAACCUUAUAUAUGUGUAUUAGUUGCCAAUAAUAGAUAUUGAGAGGUAUUAAGAGGUGGUAACU